Molecule: long non-coding RNA, 4243 nt
Filed under: Brassica rapa (field mustard)
Lineage: Eukaryota; Viridiplantae; Streptophyta; Magnoliopsida; Brassicales; Brassicaceae
Description: long non-coding RNA (BRAP_LNC007987)
Source: RNAcentral
UGAGGAUGAGUAUAUCGCUUUGUGUCUCAUGCUUCUUGCUCGCGACGGGAAUCGAACCCGCCACCUGCCUUCUUCUUCUUCCUCGCCGCCUCUGCUUCCUACUCUUACUUCUACUCAUCUCCACAAGUGCAGCGUCUGCGACAAGGCGUUUUCUUCUUACCAGGCUCUCGGUGGGCACAAGGCGAGUCACCGGAAAAACUCAUCGCAGACUCAGUCUAGCGGAGGAGAUGAGAAAUCCACGUCGUCGGCGAUAACCAUCGCGAGCCACGGCGGCGGCGGAGGAGGAAGUGUGAAAUCUCACGUUUGCUCGAUCUGCAACAAGUCUUUCGCGACAGGUCAAGCGCUCGGGGGCCACAAACGGUGCCACUACGAAGGCAAGAACGGGAGCAGCAGCGAAGGUGUGGGGUCCACAAGCCACGUCAGCAGCGGCAGCCAUCACCACCACCGUGGGUUUGACCUCAACAUCCCGCCGAUACCGGAAUUCUCGACGGUCAACGGAGAAGAAGAGGUGAUGAGCCCCAUGCCGACCAAGAAACUGAGGCUCGAGUAGAACUUAUAAAGGAGUUACAGAUUCAGCUAGCAGUUACAUGAAUUUGUUAUACUGUACAUAAUACCAAUUUUUAGAUUCCACUUCUUGUUAUUCUUCAUUGAAUCAGUAGUAUUCCUUCUUGUAAUAUUUUUGUGUAGUUUUCUUGUCUUCUUUACCUAAAGUUAUCGUUUAAAGAAAAACGACCUUGUUAAAACUAUUCAAGUACGUUUCAGUUUCUAAAGAACAUAGAUUACAACCUUAUUGGUUCGUUGGACUAGUGUCGUGGGGUGGUAAGACCUAACGUACAAAGUCUCAGCCCAUUUAACUGAUAACAUGUUAAGAGAUUCGUUUGAAGUAGAUAAUGGGUACUAAUUACGUACUGUCUGAUGUUUCUAUGCAGAACAUGACUUCAAUUUUAUUUUAUACAAUACAAAAACGAAAGAUUACCUGCAGCAUUCAAUGGUCUUAUAACAACAUCCACAUUAUUCUUUUUAGACUUUCCAUAGCUAUAUGACUAUAUCUGACACAGAGAGCAUACCUUUUUAAGGUAACAAGUGAGUUCGCAAACUGUUGUCUUUCCAACUCCCUGGAGCCCAGCCACGUGACUUAGAAAACUGUAGCUGAGAUGUUUCUCCACCCAUCAAAUUCACAAGCUUAUCAUCAUGCACAACAUGCAAUAAAAAACCAUAAUACUCCCAACACUUUCGAGACUAAAAUGAUCAUCCCAGAAUGAAGUCAACCAAUAAAUAGUAUAUUAUUUAUUCAUCGGCAGUUUUACAAAUCACUUCUUUUAUAUUAUUUAUUUGUUUGCUUCUUUAUGAAACUUUCAAUGGAUAAGGAUUCUAGAAACAUCCCUAUCAUGGUCCUGGGGUUGAUCAUUCUCCUGAACCACAGCUUCCUUGGGGAUCACAUGUGCUCCCCAUAAGAGUUUAACAUUUUGGCCAUUGAUAACAACCCAUGAAGAGUGCUCUAACAUGGCCUUCUCCGCCCCUUCUCGGGUCGUGUAUGUGAGAAACGCACCGUCAACACCUCUCAUUGCAAAAUAGACGAUAGAUUUGAUUUCUCCAUAAGGGUUGAAACGGUCACGUAUGUGCUGCUCGUGGACACUAGAGUUGAGGCGACGGAGGUAGAGCGUUUUAAGUGUUUGAUCCAAGGGUGGAUCAACAGGGCCCAUGUAAACAUUUCUAGCCAGUAACUCGACGGUUUUUGGAUUGUCUAAACUGCCAACAACCAGAAAUUCACAUAAUAAAAGUGUUUGAGAAAGGCAACAAAGAGAGUGAGAGAUAGAGGUUACCCAGUUCUACUAUCAAAAACUCUGGGAACUUUAUGUGCGAAUGGACAUGUGGCACCAGCCAUACACGUACGACCCGAUUUAAAGAAACCGCAAACUAAUGGAUGGCCAUCAAAACGUCCAAGUUGGCUCUACAUAGAUCAGAUACAAAAAAAAAACAUGAAAAUCAUACAGACUAUUCGAAGCAGCCAUUAUAUGUUAGAAAAAUUCGUAUCCAAACACAAAAGUUCCUCACAAAUUUCCAAACCCUAAACAUAGACUAUUAACACAGAAAACAUCAACAACGAGAAGAGGUGAUAUCCACGAAAAUUCAUUGCCUUUGGACGACGAUCUAUAGGGUUUCUCUGAUCCAUUCUCUUCUACUCCAAUGGCGAUAAACGCGGCUACUUCUCUUUGGAUGAACAGAGGCAAGGGCUAUAUUUAUGCCGGACGUUUCGUUUUAUAAAGAGAAAAAGAUGAAUAUGGUAGGAAAAAAUGAGUUAAAACAAACUUACGGGCCUGUUUGGUGGGCUAGUAUGAUCUAACCUACACGUUUCCCCCAUUUAGUUGAUCAUUAUAAUUGUAUACAUUAUUAUUAUCAAACAAAAGCACCCUUGUUUUUUUUGAACAAAACACCAUCGUUUUUCACGAGCCAUUCAUUCGACAACAUGACAAAUAUAUUGACCUACCUUAUAAUUUGAGAUCUGUCCAAGUGCAUACAUUAUUAUGUAUAUACGUCCAUAUGGUAAAAUUGGGCUCAAUUCCUUGGCAAAAAAAAAAUGGGCUCAAUUAAGAUUAUUGGUUGGUUUGGUUUAUCCUUUUUUGUUGACCAUCAUGUUGUCCCAAAUCAGCUCUUGAUGUGCUCUUCAUUGAUCAGUAUUCUUUCUUGUAUAGGGUAUUUUUCUUGUUUUCUUUAAUUUGUAUUUAACCUAAAGUUGUGCUUCAAGAAAAAAUCCUUCCAAUGUUUCAACACCAAGAUACAUAGAAAAAGAAGAUCUCAACACAAUGGUUAGACAGUGUAAUUAUUAUUGGAAAGCUAUACUUUUAUGUCAUUUUUUUGUCAAUUUCUAUAUGUUUACGUGUUUAGCUUUUGUAAGAAUGUGUUUUUUUUGCAUCAAGGCAGAAACCUUGUCAUAAUAUCUUACUACUUGAUAAGUUUGGUGUUUUUUUGUUUUUUCUUUUGAACUUUAAUCUGUUUUGUUUGAUGUUUGGACGUCGAUGCCAACUAUCUAAAUUUUCUCUUCACUAUUUUUCUUACAUCAAAUUUUCUUUUUACUUGAAUAAAUAUUUCUAAUCGUACUAAUAUUUCUACAAAAGCACACGAUGUUAAAAGAUGGUCUCUUAAAAACAAUCCAAAUUAUAAGAUGUAUUUAAACUCCUUUUACAAAAAAAAAAAUGUAUUUAAACUCCAACAUUUAAAAUGUCACAUUACCAAACAAAAGCACCAUCGGUUUUCACGAGCCUCCCACGAUGUGAUAAAUAUGACCCACCAUCAUCCAAUUAUAUGCGUCCAAAGUGCAUACGUUAGUAUGUAUAUUGAUAUACUAAUGGAUCUCUUAAUUAUUUUUGCAUAAGAGCAUCAUUAUCCUAGAGACCCAUAAUGGAUCUCUUAAUUAUUUUUUUAUAGUAUUUAAGGAAUAAAUUUGGUCAAGAGACUUUGUUAAGAAUUUUCAAUUUUUAUGUCCUCCAUUGCAAGUCUUGUAUUUUAGGAUUCUUAAAAAAAAAUUUGGUUAAAAGAGCUUUCAUCACACUUUCAUUACAUUCGUCUUGUGAAAACCAUCUUUUCCUAAAACUGAGUUCAAAAGAACAUUUCAAAUCUUGAUGCAAGUUUCUAAAGAUGGACACAAAACCAAAUCAAAAGAAGCUCUUAAACCAAUCCAAAACUGGAGCAAACCAAACAAAAAAAACGGACUGUAAAAGUCUAGCGGAGGAGAUGAGAAAUCCACGUCGUCCGCGAUAACCAUCGCUAGCCGCGGCGGCGGCGGAGGAGGAAGUGUGAAACCGCACGUUUGCUCGAUCUGCAACAAGUCUUUCGCGACAGGUCAAGCGCUCGGGGGCCACAAACGGUGCCACUACGAAGGCAAGAACGGGAGCAGCAGCGAAGUUGUGGGGUCCGCAAGCCACGUCAGCAGCGGCAGCCAUCACCACCACCGUGGGUUUGACCUCAACAUCCCGCCGAUACCGGAAUUCUCGACGGUCAACGGAGAAGAAGAGGUGAUGAGCCCCAUGCCGACCAAGAAACUGAGGCUCGAGUAGAACUUAUAAAGGAGUUACAGAUUCAGCUAGCAGUUACAUGAAUUUGUUAUACUGUACAUAAUACCAAUUUUUAGAUUUCAUUUCUUGUUAUUCUUCAUUGAAUCAGUAUUCCUUCUUGUAAUAUUUGUGUAGUUUUCUUAUCUUCUUUACCUAAAGUUGUCGUUUAAAGAAAAAGACCCUGCUAAAAC